RNAcentral lists this unclassified non-coding RNA (2666 nucleotides) under Leishmania donovani. RNAcentral describes it as "gene:LdHU3.19.1330(CDS-product:mitochondrial_carr ier_protein_putative)". Lineage: Eukaryota; Euglenozoa; Kinetoplastea; Trypanosomatida; Trypanosomatidae. The record is from RNAcentral.
CAACGCAAAGAGCCAGCGCAGCGCCCAUCAAGGCCUGAGCUCUUCCGCUCCCGAAGCUCCGCCCACCUUCAGUCAACAUCACGUCAAGCGCACUCAGCGCCACGGCAACGAGUUGAACACUUGCGAAGGCGCGCGCAGACGUAAACACUUAUACGCACACACUAGAGCGUCUCCUCGGCCUCCCCACACGGCCACGCUCAACCAAACCGCAAACACGCGCACUAGACAUAGUCCAUGAUCCUACAUAAAAGUGCAUAGAUCGAUUUGUGGAGGGAAAGAGUGAGAGCGGUGGACCGACAGCAGCCUUGUCACUUCGUGUCUCUCUGUGCCGACGGGCCUGAAAACGUUCCACACCUAAAACCUUUUAAACUCGUAUCGCCCGUGACGUCGUCUGUCGUGAGUAGUCCUUGCCCUCGCCACCCCCCCUCUCAGCCCCUCUCGUCUUCGUCGUUGGGUGCUCGUGUUGCAGCUAACGGGCCUUGUUGUCUUCUUUGAUUGCACACUUACAUGUGUAUAUCGCGCUGUUCAGCGCUGCCGCCGCCUCCCCUCCACCCCACCGCGCACUUGGUUAUCGCACAGCUCUGUCGAUGUCCAGCAGUGAGAAGAAGCAUGCCGCGUGGGUGGAUGUAGUCGCCGGCGGCUUUGGCGGGGCGCUCGCCAAGUCUCUCCUCAGUCCUUUUCAACGCAUCGUCGUACUGCAGCAACUCGGGCAGCACAAGAGCUACAGCAUCGCCCAACUGGUGCGUCACAUAUAUGCGCAGGAAGGCUUGAAAAGCUUCUGGCGCGGCAACCUCACCUCGAUGGUGAUUCGAGUGCCGUACAGCGGCAUUCAGUUUUUGCUCUACACCCAGCUCAAGUUCUUCUUCCAAGAUUGGCUGGAUCGUCGUCAUGCCGCCGCGGCGCUGUCUGGCCACCAGGCGGACGGUAGUAGCGAUAACGACAACGCGUCCAGCGCCGCGACAUCGCGCGGGCUGGGGAUGGAGAAGUUCGUCAUGAAGUGCGGCGCCGGCGGCAUCUCGGCCACGAUCGCCGGCGCUGCCGUCUACCCGGGCGAAGUUGUCCGCCUCCGCCUCAUGUCUGGCGAGAAAAAGUUUACCGGCAUUGCUCAUACGUGCGGGCUCGUUUAUCGGGAGACGCGCUCGCUGCGCAACUUCUACCGCGGCCUCGGGGCGUCGCUCAUGCAGCGCGUGCCAGACAUCCUAGUCAGCUUCGCUACGUACGAGACGAUCAAGUACGCCGUGCUGGACAGCCCCGACCCGCUCCUCUUCAAGGACAAUGACGCGGCGCGAAACGUGCUGUCAACGAUGGUCGGUGGCUCCGCCGCGGCGAUAGCCUCCAUCCUCGUAGCGUUCCCACUCGACGUAGCGAAGCGGCGCAUCGGCAUGUCUGGCCAAGGCACCGACAAGACAGUUUACCGCGGUGUCGGCGACUGCCUGCGACAGAUCUACGCCAAGGAGGGCGUCCGUGGCUGGUACGCUGGGGCCUUUGUCGAGGCGGUGCGGUGUGUGCCGCAGGUGAUCCUCAUGUGGAUGUUCAUCGAGGUCAUCCAAAAGAAGUUGUCACCCUACGCGAGAGUGGCAUCCGCCGAAGACGAGAUGGCGAAGCGGAAGAAGGGUCCUUGAUGCGUGCAGUGCUCUGCGCCCCCGUCCCCCCACCCUCGCAUCCCUCUCUCCAUCUUUUACGCCACGCCCUUUCGGGGUCUCUUUUCACGUGCAGCAUGGAGGAAAAGGGGGAGAGAGGACCAAACGCACGACGCCUGCCACACCCGCGUCAAGGUGUUUGCUGGAGGAUCGAAUAGGCGCAUGUCCGUAAGUAAGUGGGCGUGUUGUCUCCUCGCGUGUUCAGCGGAUGACGUAGACUGUUGUGGAUGUCGCAUGUGUUGUGUGUUGUGUGUGUGGGUGUGUGGGUGGGUGGGCGUGCGUGUGUCAUCCGUUGCGUCUUUCGAAUGUUGUGAUGUUGGUGCGGUCGUGUUGAUCUCUCUGUGCGCGUGCAUACUUCGCGUCCCCGUUGUUGUUGUUGAAAAGGAUGGAAUCGGUGCGCUGAUGCGUCUCGACGCGUCUGUGAAAGCGAAGUACCGGUGCGAGACGGAGGGGGGAUGCCCAGCGGUGCCGGUGCGUCCGUCUGCAUGUGUGCCUCCCGCAGCACGACCUGGACCGAAUCGCUUCCGCGUUCCUUUCUUUUCUGUCGUGGAGGGUGGGUGGGCGGGUCGCCUGUCACGCAUGUAAGGACUGUCACCAUGUCUUGGCAUGCCUGGCUAAUUCCUUGUGCAGGAACGCGCACAAGGCACAGCGUGACACCCGCGCGCACGAGUCCAUGCAUGUGCCUGACGGGGACUGCAUACGUAGGCAGCUGCCUCUUGCAAUAAAGGGAGAGGGGCAUGGAAGGCGCUGGUGCUCUCCCCGUUCGCUCCGAUUAGGGUGUGCUCCGUUGCUUCUAUCCCACGCCAUCCUCCUCGCCUGCCCGUCCUGCCCGCUCUCCCUCCGCUGCCCGCACCUCGCUCAACACAAGUGUAAGCAAUACAUACAGAGCAAGAUAGGUCGACGCCACACAGCUCAGCCGUCGGUCGCGCGUCCACCUUGCCGUCUUCCUUCCGCUCGUAACUCUCCAUCACCACCCAACCACCCACGCACACCCCUGCCUCGCCUCACCAAGCGUCGCCUACACAG